UACGGGGGGAGCAAGCGUUGUUCGGAUUUACUGGGCGUAAAGGGCGCGUAGGCGGCCUGUGCAAGUCAGUUGUGAAAUCUCCGGGCUUAACUCGGAACGGUCAACUGAUACUGCUCGGCUAGAGUGCGGAAGGGGCAACUGGAAUUCUUGGUGUAGCGGUGAAAUGCGUAGAUAUCGAGAGGAACACCAGUGGCGAAGGCGAGUCCCUGGACAACACCUGACACUGAGGCACGAAAGCUAGGGGAGCAAACAGG
RNAcentral lists this ribosomal RNA (254 nucleotides) under uncultured prokaryote. Its description in RNAcentral is "partial 16S ribosomal RNA". It matches the Rfam family "Bacterial small subunit ribosomal RNA", at positions 524 to 776 of the family's 1533-position model. The record is from RNAcentral.